Ictalurus punctatus (channel catfish) is the source of this 5002-nucleotide long non-coding RNA. RefSeq lists it as uncharacterized. Lineage: Eukaryota; Metazoa; Chordata; Actinopteri; Siluriformes; Ictaluridae. The record is from RefSeq and is a predicted model, not a curated record. The transcript has 3 exons.
CUAUAACCUUUUACUUCAUCCACAGACAUGACUAUACACUCACUCAGCACUUUUUAGGAACACUGUACUAAUACUAGGUAGGGCCUCCUCUUUGCUCUCAAAACUGUCUCAAUUCUUCAUGGCAUGGAUUCCACAAGACCUUGGAAACAUUCCUUUGAGAUUUUCAAGUGUUUCUUGCCAAAGUGUGCCAAGAAAACAUUCUGCACACCAUUACAUCACCUCCACCAGUCUGGACUGUUGACAAGGCAGGUUGGAUUCAUGCUGUUGGCGCCAGAUUCUGACCCUACUAUCUGUGUGCCUCAGCAGAAAUCAAGAUUCAUCAGACCAGGCUACGUUUUCCAGUCUUCAAUCUCCUAUUUUAGUGAACCUGUGCCCACUGCAGCCUCAGCUUUCUGUUCUUCACUGACAGAAGUGGAAUCCUUCUUCUUAUGCUUCACCUCAAGGGGCGCGGGGAGCCUGGAGCCUAUCACAGGGGACUCAAGGCACAAGGCGGGGGACACCAUGGACGGGGUGCCAACCCACUGCAGGCCACAAUCGCACACAGUGAUGCACUAUAGACAAUUUAGAGAUUCCAAUCAGCCUACAGUGCAUGUCUUUAGAUUGGGAGAAGAAACCAGAGCACCUGGAGGAUUCUCCUGAAGCACGAGGUGGAGGCGUGAAUCAAAGCCGCCUAUGAACCCAUCUAUGAUGUUUACAGUAUAAUUAGUUCAGUUUUUUUUUUUUUUUUUUUAUCACAGUACAUCACCAUAUAGGCUACCAUCCACCCCUAGUCAGGUCUAGAGAAGACUAUAUUUAAAUAAAUUAGGAUGAAAGACGUUUUUAGAUUAAAAUAACUGUUAAUUCACCCUUUGCUAUUACCUUAGCCAAGCACAAUGCAUAUGCAAAACUGGACAAAAGUAACAAUAAUAAAAAAAAAAGAAACACCUAUUAGAAACUCUGUUACAGCCUUCAUUAAAUGCUGAGGUCUCUGUUAAAUGUAUCAGUGUUGUAUUGAAUCUACCGGCCUGUAGUUAUUCUGGUGACUGGAUUCACUGUUUUGGUAGGCAUGUUCUUCUUGAUCCACCUUGCUACAUGCUACAGUCCACCAAAGCAUCCUUUAUUUUAUUGUAUGAGUUUUCUAUCUAAUAGCUAACAGCUUGAUUCUUUUCACUUCUAAGAAUAUCUCACCCACAGGCCAGGUCAGGUUUUUUUUGUGUUUCCUUUAUAUUUGUCUGUAAUUUAUAUAGACACAAAUCAAUGAGAUGGAAAAUUUAGAACAUUUUAUUUAGUAACAAGACAUGGUCAUUCACACACAUUUACUUUUAUUGUGUAUAUAUUCAGAAAAGCAGAGGAGGAUCAGUGAAAAGCUCUCACUGAAAGUGGCAUUUCAGACGAAUGAGUCACAGUCAGAGAUUGAGAACCGUAGACAUGCCAAUUCACCUUCAUUGGAGAAAAGUAAAUGAAAAAUGGUAAAUGAUUGCACCAUUCUGCUAGUUUUAUCACUGCAAUCGGAAACAGUGUGUUGUUCAGAUAACAGAUGGCAAUUCCCAUAUAAAUGACUUUUUGGGGUGCUCAAAAAGUCAUCUGUUGUAGCACAUAACUAAGCAUUAAUCCUUUGCUAAGAUGGAGGAAUCAAUAAUCCCUAUCUUACCUGUUAGGUAGGUGAGCUAAACUAAUCUCUCCUGAGGAUUACCGCAGCAUAUCUCGAACAGAAUGAAAGAAAGAAUGCAGCACUAUCUCCAUUUACAGCCAGGCACUGUGGCUCUUCCCUGUUCUAUCAUGUAUCAGUUAAGGCCCUCCAUCAGAUGCCCGCAUACAGACAGUUUAUAAGAUCUGCUCUAGCAAUCCAACCAUGAAAUUGUUUACAGGGACAUAAAUCUGUUGCAACAUCACACCAUUCUUGCUUCUUACAUUGCAGCUUACUUUUUCUACCAUUUUCUAUAUAUGAAGGAAAAGAUUUAUAUACAUGAAGUGAAGAAAUAUUUUAUCAGAACUCCUUUUCAGCUCCAACCUGUCACGUAUUCCAUAUAAUGAAGGUUAGGAUGGAUGCAAGUGCAGAUAAGAGCUUUUAAUUAAGAGAGGCAGGCAGACAAAUCCAAAUCAUGAGACAAUAGCAUGGUCAAAAACAGGCAAUGGGUCAGGCGAUCAGCAAGCAGGCAUAAACUAGGCAAGGCAAGAAUCGAGAAUGAGAAACCAGAAACAAGAAACAAGAUCAAAGAACAUGAAUCAAAACGAGGAACAGGGUACAAACGCUUGGUGUGGUGAUAACACUCAAUACCUGGCAAAGAGUGAAUGCCUCUAAAGUCCUUUUAAACUGUGGUGUGUGUAUGAGAUUGGAUGCAGGUGUGUGUGAUUAGAAUGAAUGAAUGUCCGGGGAAUUGCAGUCCAUGGCGGCCAUGUUUGUAGGCCACAGUGCAUGAUGGGAAAUGUACAUAUCUGGUUUGCUGUGAUAUGACACAGCCUUACAUAUCAUCCUCCUUGUUCUUCACCUAUUAUUUGUCUCCAGGACUCUAGCACAUGAAGGUGUCUGAUGGUCUAAAGUAUGUUGAUAGUUUGUUAGCUGUGCUUUAAAAGCAAAUCAACACAUGCCCUUAAAUAUCUUUAAUCAAAUAUUUUUAAAACAAAGAAUUAGUUAUUGGGGCGCAUGGUGGCUUAGUGGUUAGCAUGUUUGCCUCACACCUCCAGGGUUGGGGGUUCGAUUCCCACCGUGGCCCUGUGUGUGGAGUUUGCAUGUUCUCCCCGUGCUGCUGGGGUUUCCUCCAGGUACUCUGGUUUCCUCCCCCAGUCCAAAGACAUGCAUGGUAGGCUGAUUGGUGUGUCUGUAGUGUAUGAGUGGGUGUGUGAGUGUGUAUGUGAGUGUGCCCUGCGAUGGAUUGUCACCCUGUCCAGGGUGUACCCCGCCUUGUGCCCGAUGCUCCCUGGGAUAAGCUCCAGGUUCCCCAUGACACCGAAAAAGAUAGAAGAUGGAUGGAUGGAUGGAUGGAAUUAGGUAUUGUAUUAACUCAUUGUAUCAUUGCAGUCAUUGUGGAGAGAAUUAACUAUUUUCUCAUUGACAAAGCAAACAUUUAAUUCAACUCAGAACAAGCUCUGAAAGCCAAGUAUAACUACACUGAGCAACACCUUCAUCAGUAGAACCAUGAAUUCUGAUUUAGUAUUUCCUAUAGUGUUGUGCAAAGGUCUUAGGCACACUAUAUUUUGUUAAAUAAAAAAUCUGGUCAUAGAUGUUUAAAUCAUCUACAAUAAUUUCUUAUUGUCUUAGCAGAAAAGAGCUAAUUUUAUAUUCCUAAACACUUAUUUUCCAACUAUAAAGAAGAAGAUCAUGUGUUCAAUUUUGUUUUUGUUCACUGUAGAUUCCUGUCUUUGGCUGACAGGAGAGGAACCUAAUGUAGCCGAUUCAGCUUAAGAUUCGACGUGUGAUCUGAGAUGCUUUUCUACUCACCAGGUUGUCCCAUCCCGGCUCCAGACUCCCCCAUGACCCUGUGUAGGAUAAACAGAGCAGAAAAUGGAUGCAUGGUUGGAUGGAUGCACCUUAAGCUUCAAAAUGGUAAAAUGUUAACGUUUUUACUUUUUCUCCUUUUCAAUGUUAUUUUUUUUACAUGCUUAAUUUUAUGCAAUUUAAGCAAUUUUCAAAGGUGUAUAUGAAACUUAUUACAGUAUUAACAUGGCACUCAUGCUUUAGUAUUUUACUUAAUUGAGUCACACUCAAAGUAAUCCUCUUCCUUCAUUUCCACAUACAAGUUGUUGUAAUUUAAUACCUUUCAUGAGUACACAGUGACAGGCUUGUGUAUAGGUUUCACUCAGUAAAAAUGCGGUUGUGUGUGAAUGUGAAUUCACUGUCUUUGUGUUGAAAGCACAGGUGGGUGGCAAGAGCAGUGGUGCCCUCGAGAGUGAAUUGAAGUCCAUUACAGGAAUAUUCCAGUGAGAUUUAUAUCAAUCAACCUCUAUUUUUCAUAUCUGUUUCUUGUACUGAAAAUAAAAGAACAGGAAAUCUAUUUACACAAUGUCACUUUAUAAAUGAAGCCUGAAGGUGGUAGGUGAAUUCUUUUAAAAUACAUGACUAUAUAGUACAAAUUCAAAACUACAACUAUUAGACUUUCUUGAGAUUUAAGCACAAGAAAGACUUACCAAAACUACUCUUAUGUAGUGUUAUCCAACUUUCCAACACCGGAGUAAUACGAGAACAAGAUAUUCCCAUUACUUUCCUGAAGGUUUUGUAUUAUUCAUGCACAAAUGUAAAAUGUCAAAUUCGAGAAAAAAAUGUGUAACAUUUUUACACACUUACUUUCACAAAGAUCUCUGACUCAAGAAAACAUUAUACAAAAAUGUGUUUCAUAUUAAUGAUUAUUGGUUGCCUCAACAACUGCCAAGUUUUUUAUUUCUAAGUACAGGGAAAUGUGUUUAAAUACUUGUCCAUAUUAAUGACCCACACACUAUAAUUGCAUUGGAUCUCAGACUCUUUCAGACUUAACUAAAGCCUGGUUCAUUUGCAGAAAAGACUAGAAGUGUGCACAGGACUGGGGUUUUUUGUCUGCUCCCGAAGGAAUGCUGAUCUCGCCCCCACUCCUGCAAUUAAUAUCAUUUGUUUGUAUCCAAAUACAAUAUUUUAUAAUAAACUUAGUUAGUUCAAUUUUCCAAAAUAUAAACAAAUUAGUAAUUUAAGCCAGCUUAAGUGAUGCUUCGUGUAAAGCUGCACGACUAACUGUUAAUAAACAUGUCCUUUAUUUGUCCUGCAAGCUUCAUAUCUCACUACCCGCUACUGACCACAUGAAAGUAAAAACCGUUGGGUCCCAUGGGAUCUUGGUCAUGAUACAGACCACAAGAAUAUAUAUAUCUAUCAUCAUAGAGCCAACCAGACUAACUGACUUCUGUCAGUCAGAAGACUAUAGUUCACUUUGAUACAGUACCUGUACCAUAGCCAAUAAAAUCUGCAUGUGAUUUUUUAAUAAGACACUCUGAAUGGAAGAAAAUAUAGAGCAAAUAUACAGUACAUAUAGUAUACAUCUCUAUAUGUAACUACACAUAA